This 274-nucleotide ribosomal RNA is filed under the name uncultured bacterium. Its description in RNAcentral is "partial 16S ribosomal RNA". It matches the Rfam family "Bacterial small subunit ribosomal RNA", at positions 523 to 796 of the family's 1533-position model. The record is from RNAcentral.
AUACGAAAGGUGCAGGCGUUGUUCGGAUUUACUGGGCGUAACGAGAGUGUAGGUGGUUUAUUAAGUCGGAUGUGAAAUCCCGGGGCUCAACCUCGGAACUGCAUUCGAUACUGAUAGGCUAGAGUUUGGGAGGGGUAAGCGGAAUUCCGUGUGUAGCAGUGAAAUGCGUAGAUAUACGGAGGAACACCUGAGGCGAAGGCGGCUUACUGGACCAAUACUGACACUUAGACUCGAAAGCAUGGGUAGCAAACAGGAUUAGAAACCCGAGUAGUCC